Molecule: ribosomal RNA, 158 nt
Filed under: Fulvia fulva
Lineage: Eukaryota; Fungi; Ascomycota; Dothideomycetes; Mycosphaerellales; Mycosphaerellaceae
Description: Passalora fulva 5.8S ribosomal RNA
Rfam family: 5.8S ribosomal RNA (bases 78-158)
About the family: 5.8S ribosomal RNA (5.8S rRNA) is a component of the large subunit of the eukaryotic ribosome. It is transcribed by RNA polymerase I as part of the 45S precursor that also contains 18S and 28S rRNA.
Source: RNAcentral
CCGUUUCGGCGACGGCGCCCCCGGAGAUCAUCAAACACUGCAUCUUUGCGUCGGAGUCUUAAAGUAAAUUUAAACAAAACUUUCAACAACGGAUCUCUUGGUUCUGGCAUCGAUGAAGAACGCAGCGAAAUGCGAUAAGUAAUGUGAAUUGCAGAAUU